Nematostella vectensis (starlet sea anemone) is the source of this 568-nucleotide long non-coding RNA. RefSeq lists it as uncharacterized. The record is from RefSeq and is a predicted model, not a curated record. Lineage: Eukaryota; Metazoa; Cnidaria; Anthozoa; Actiniaria; Edwardsiidae. The transcript is spliced from 2 exons.
UUGUCCUGGUAAAGAGAUGUCACGUUAGUUAUCACUCCUGUACCAUUCCCAGGAAUCCAGGGCACUUCCAUUACCAUUACUGUCCAAGUUCAGACCAGGUAAUGGUACCAGAUAAUGACCAGGUAAUGGUACUAGAUAAUGACCAGGUAAUGGUACCAGAUAAUGGUAACGAUUAAGUCACCAAGCCAGCCUUGGUCCAGGCACUGGAACCUUAUAUCACAUUUAGCAUUUGUUUCGUUUGGAGAUUUAGCAUAACAUGAAAUCAUACAAGGAAGUCAAUGUGCGAAGUACAAUGAAACAGCUCCAGAAGUGACAUAAACACAAGUCAUUCUAGACCAGAUUAAACUUACUAUCAGCAGCUGCGCAUGUGACGUCGGCAAUUGUCUGCAUGCCAGGAACAAGAAGUGUAGUAACGCAAGCCCCUGAUCCAGGCGAGAUCAGCCUGACUGUGGCAUCACUGCAUAUACACACCAUGCGACCGGGCACCUGAAGGACCAGAGAAGAGUUCUGUUAUCUCACAUGACAUAACAACUUGCAUACAGGGAAAAGAGGAGGUAUAUCGUAUAUU